UCCAGACUCCUACGGGAGGCAGCAGUGAGGAAUAUUGGUCAAUGGGCGGGAGCCUGAACCAGCCAAGCCGCGUGAGGGAAGAAGGUACAGCGUAUCGUAAACCUCUUUUGUCAGGGAACAAAGGCGGGGACUAGUCCCCGGAUGAGGGUACCUGAAGAAAAAGCAUCGGCUAACUCCGUGCCAGCAGCCGCGGUAAUACGGAGGAUGCGAGCGUUAUCCGGAUUUAUUGGGUUUAAAGGGUGCGUAGGCGGAAUGCCAAGUCAGCGGUAAAAUCGCGGGGCUCAACCUCGCUCCGCCGUUGAAACUGGGUGCCUUGAGUGGGCGAGAAGUACGCGGAAUGCGUGGUGUAGCGGUGAAAUGCAUAGAUAUCACGCAGAACUCCGAUUGCGAAGGCAGCGUACCGGCGCCCAACUGACGCUGAAGCACGAAGGCGUGGGUAUCGAACAGGAUUAGAUACCCCAGUAA
Molecule: ribosomal RNA, 465 nt
Filed under: uncultured bacterium
Lineage: Bacteria
Description: bacterial SSU rRNA
Rfam family: Bacterial small subunit ribosomal RNA
Source: RNAcentral